AAACAAAAUAAAAGGCCUUGUAUAUAUUAAUUUACUUUCCUUUGAUGAACAACUAGUGGAGCUCCGCUCAUGCUUAUCUCCUAGCUAGUUGACUCGGCUGCUGCUGCUUCUUCUUCUUCUUCUUCAAUUGUAUAUAUUUAAACAAAUUAAGUAGCUUCAGAAGGGAAAACCCACAGGCCAUAGCCAGCAUAGAAAGAAACAAACAACUCCUACUCCUACCAAGUUUGUCUUCCCUAGCUCACUGUGCGGCUGAUGAGGACUGAAAGAGCUGUUGCUGUUGCUUUUGUUGACAGAAGAUAGAGAGCACAAGUGAACAUCCGCAGGAAGGCUUGCGUUUGAGCACUGUUGUGCUCUCUCUUCUUCUGUUAACAGAAAUAUACAUGGCUUUGAAGCCUGACUCUUUGAUCUGUUUUCGUCACUCGAUUCAAGGUUUGGUGGAUCUAUGGUACUACUGAGGCCUGCAAUUCAGACAGGAAAGUCGGUACAGCCUUGGUGAAAUUUAUCAGGAUUCAGGGCUCUUACUUAAAUGGGUAUGAAAUGGAUACUUUCUUCAUUAUCUUCCUCUCAGAGCGUUUGGGAUAUAAAAGCAAAAGAAGUUGAAUUUGUCCCAAUACCCCAUGAUAGAACCAGAAUAGGAUCCAAUUCCUGAACGGUUUUUCAAAGACUUGGACCCAUAACUUAUCUUGGUAAUUAAUGGACUACUGGACCGAUGAAGUCCAUAAACCUUGGCUUAUCCAUUGGCACCCCUAAAAUUCCAACGGCAAUCAUAUUUGUUACACCGGAAAAUUAUGUAUUAACCGUGGCUAGCUAAUUGGAACACAGUUGUCCCAUUUGUGCAGUCUA
Molecule: long non-coding RNA, 843 nt
Organism: Nelumbo nucifera (sacred lotus)
Lineage: Eukaryota; Viridiplantae; Streptophyta; Magnoliopsida; Proteales; Nelumbonaceae
Source: RefSeq, a predicted model, not a curated record